CCUACGUGCGGCUGCAGUGGGGAAUAUUGCGCAAUGGGCGAAAGCCUGACGCAGCGACGCCGCGUGAGGGAUGAAGGUCUUCGGAUCGUAAACCUCUGUCAGCAGGGAAGAACGGUCACUGUGCUAAUCAGCAGUGAAUUGACGGUACCUGCAAAGGAAGCACCGGCUAACUCCGUGCCAGCAGCCGCGGUAAUACGGAGGGUGCGAGCGUUAAUCGGAAUUACUGGGCGUAAAGCGCUCGUAGGCGGUAUGUCAAGUCAAGGGUGAAAUCCCCGCGCUAAACGUGGGAACUGCCUUUGAAACUGGCAAACUGGAGUGUGUGAGAGGAUAGUGGAAGUCCAGGUGUAGGAGUGAAAUCCGUAGAUAUCUGGAGGAACAUCAGUGGCGAAGGCGACUAUCUGGCACAUAACUGACGCUGAGGAGCGAAAGCGUGGGUAGCAAACAGGAUUAGAUACCCCAGUAGUC
RNAcentral lists this ribosomal RNA (465 nucleotides) under uncultured bacterium. Its description in RNAcentral is "partial 16S ribosomal RNA". It matches the Rfam family "Bacterial small subunit ribosomal RNA", at positions 338 to 795 of the family's 1533-position model. The record is from RNAcentral.